Lathyrus oleraceus (garden pea) is the source of this 752-nucleotide long non-coding RNA. RefSeq lists it as uncharacterized. The record is from RefSeq and is a predicted model, not a curated record. The transcript has 2 exons. Lineage: Eukaryota; Viridiplantae; Streptophyta; Magnoliopsida; Fabales; Fabaceae.
UCUCUCUCUCUCUCUCUCUCUUCUUCUGUCUUUUCUUUCUCCUCUUUCUGCUUUACUCUUUCUUCUCUUUCUCUUCUCUCUUAUGUCGGAUUUGAAAUGGUUGCUAUGUAACCAAAAACAUCAUAACCAAAGUGCGAUAAAUCUUGUUUACGGAAUGUUGUUUUGAUUUCAAGCGAAAAAAGAGAUGUAAAUUCGUUUUUAAGUUGUGUUAUUCUCUCUUUAUAUGUAUUGUUUUAUGUAUAUGUUGGUUAUGAUUUUGCUAAAUUUUUUAAUGUUUUUUCCAGCAUCGGAUAUGGAUAACUCUGAGAUUGUAGCCGUCAAAAUGGUUUGCUUCUCAAGGUGAGUUGAUCUGUCUAGCAUAUUAUGAGCUCUAAAAAACAGACACAGUGGUUGACUCGAGGAAAUGUUCAUAUCCAUGUAAUUUCAAUGGAGAUUGUGUUGAUGGAAGUUGCCACUACUUUCUUGGAUUUCAUGGAUACGAUUGUAGUCGUAGUGAGUUAUGUUAUUCCACGUUGUAUUUUAACUCCAUAGUUCAUUUUGCUUUAUUUUUCUAGUUUUUAGUCUUCCUUUAAUGGUUGUGUGUUGUCGUAACUUAUUCCAGGUUCCUGUCCCAUAAAUUUCACUAGCAAUGUCUUAUGUCUCAAUAAUGGAAUAUGUGAAUGUAAACCUGAUUACACUAACAUUGGUUGCUCCACUGAUAAAUUUUUAUUCUAAACUAUGUGAAUGUAAAUCCUUUUCUUAUUUGUUAUUCA